AAUCUCCUUCCCCAGUUCUCGGAGCAGAAGGAUUAAAAGGCCCAGAGCUCAGGCCUAGGCUUCCCGUGAAGCGGAAGAGACAGGCAGCACCUCUCUUGUCUCACCAGAACCUUGUGUCCAAGGAGGUCCUUCAGGAGACCUGGGAUGAGUGGUGCUUCCCCAAAACAGACUCAUGGACAUUAAACAUCAUCAGAAUGGCACAAGAGGGCAAAGAAGAAAACAGCCUCAUACCAUGCAGAGGCUCCUGACCUGGGGGCUGCCAGU
RNAcentral lists this long non-coding RNA (264 nucleotides) under Pan troglodytes (chimpanzee). RNAcentral describes it as "long non-coding RNA NONPTRT000482". The record is from RNAcentral. Lineage: Eukaryota; Metazoa; Chordata; Mammalia; Primates; Hominidae.